This 412-nucleotide ribosomal RNA is filed under the name uncultured Oscillibacter sp. RNAcentral describes it as "partial 16S ribosomal RNA". The record is from RNAcentral. Lineage: Bacteria; Bacillati; Bacillota; Clostridia; Eubacteriales; Oscillospiraceae.
CACGUAGUUAGCCGUGGCUUAUUCAAGGGGUACCGUCCUCCGCUCUUCCCCCUUAAAAGAAGUUUACAACCCGAAAGCCUUCUUCCUUCACGCGGCGUUGCUGGGUCAGACUUGCGUCCAUUGCCCAAUAUUCCCCCACUGCUGCCUCCCGUAGGAGUCUGGGCCGUAUCUCAGUCCCAAUGUGGCCGGCCAACCUCUCAGUCCGGCUACUGAUCGUCGCCUUGGUGGGCCUUACCUCACCAACUAGCUAAUCAGACGCGAGGCCAUCUUCCAGCGAUAAAUCUUUGACGUCGGAGUCAUGCGGCUCCAACGCAUCAUGCGGUAUUAGCAGUCGUUUCCAACUGUUCGUCCCCCUGUGGAACGGCAGGUUCCCUCGACGUCGUUACUCACCACGUCCGCCACUAACGCACUU